Molecule: ribosomal RNA, 333 nt
Filed under: Neohirasea unnoi
Lineage: Eukaryota; Metazoa; Arthropoda; Insecta; Phasmatodea; Lonchodidae
Description: partial 12S ribosomal RNA
Source: RNAcentral
UGUUCUUUAAACUUAAAGAAUUUGGCGGUGUUUUAGUCUAUUUAGAGGAACUUGUUCCUUAAUCGAUAAUCCUCGUUUUAUCUUUCUUUAUUUUGUUUAGUAUGUAUACCGCCGUUAUAAGUUUAUUUUUUUAGAAUAAAAAUUUACUUAAAUCUUUAUUUUGAUUUAUUUCAGGUCAAGGUGCAGCUUAUAUUAAAGUGGUAAUGAGUUACAAUAUUUUUGAAUAAAUGGAUUUAUUUUUUAAAAUAUUAAUGAAAGUGGAUUUAAUUGUAAUUUUUAUUAUAAUGUAAUUUUGAUUUUAGCUCUAAGAUAAGUACACAUCGCCCGUCGCUC